GACGAACGCUGGCGGCGUGCUUAACACAUGCAAGUCGAACGGAAAGGCCCUGCUUGCAGGGUGCUCGAGUGGCGAACGGGUGAGUAACACGUGGGUGAUCUGCCCCUUACUUUGGGAUAAGCCUGGGAAACUGGGUCUAAUACUGGAUAGGACCAUGCUGUAGGUGGUGUGGUGGAAAGAUUAGUUUCGGUAAGGGAUGAGCUCGCGGCCUAUCAGCUUGUUGGUGGGGUAAUGGCCUACCAAGGCGUCGACGGGUAGCCGGCCUGAGAGGGUGGACGGCCCCAUUGGGACUGAGAUGCGGCCCAGACUCCUACGGGAGGCAGCAGUGGGGAAUAUUGCACAAUGGGCGCAAGCCUGAUGCAGCGACGCCGCGUGGGGGGUGACGGCCUUCGGGUUGUAAACUCCUUUCGGCCAUGACGAAGCCCUUGUGGUGACGGUAGUGGUAGAAGAAGCACCGGCUAACUACGUA
RNAcentral lists this ribosomal RNA (469 nucleotides) under uncultured bacterium. Its description in RNAcentral is "partial 16S ribosomal RNA". It matches the Rfam family "Bacterial small subunit ribosomal RNA", at positions 28 to 507 of the family's 1533-position model. The record is from RNAcentral.